This is a ribosomal RNA of Monopterus albus (swamp eel), 147 nucleotides long. It matches the Rfam family "5.8S ribosomal RNA". From Rfam's summary of the family: 5.8S ribosomal RNA (5.8S rRNA) is a component of the large subunit of the eukaryotic ribosome. It is transcribed by RNA polymerase I as part of the 45S precursor that also contains 18S and 28S rRNA. Functionally, it is thought that 5.8S rRNA may be involved in ribosome translocation. The record is from Ensembl. Lineage: Eukaryota; Metazoa; Chordata; Actinopteri; Synbranchiformes; Synbranchidae.
AACUCUUAGCGGUGGAUCACUCGGCUCGUGCGUAGAUGAAGAACGCAACUAGCUGCGAGAACUAAUGUGAAUUGCAGGACACACUGACACUUCGAACGCAACUUGUGGCCCCGGGUUCCUCCUGGGGCUACACCUGUCUGAGGGUCG